GGUCCCUUAGAUCAGUUGGUUAGAUCGUGGUGCUAAUAACGCCAAGGUGAAUAACUAUUGACAAUCUCAAUUUCGAUUGAUCGCUAACUGUAGUUUAGGUCGCGAGUUCGAUCCUCGUAGGGACCA
Molecule: non-coding RNA, 126 nt
Organism: Rhinocladiella mackenziei CBS 650.93
Lineage: Eukaryota; Fungi; Ascomycota; Eurotiomycetes; Chaetothyriales; Herpotrichiellaceae
Source: the annotation of a RefSeq genome assembly